CUGCAGCCUCCCAGUGCCGAGCUUUUCCACUAUGACAGCACGAAUGCCGUCAACUGGGGGAUGCGAGAGUACAAGAUAUACCCCUACGAACUGCUCCUGGUGAAGACAAGGGGGAGGAACCAGCUGCCCAAAGAUGUGGACAGGACUCGGUUAGAGCGCCACCUCUCCCAGGAGGAGUUCUACCAGAUCUUCGGCAUGACCAUCGCUGAGUUCGACCGCCUGGCCCUGUGGAAGAGGAACGAGCUGAAGAAGCAGGCCCGGCUGUUUUAAAUGCAGUGCACUAUAAAUAUAUACAUACCUAUAAAUAUAUACAUAGAAAGAUCUCUAUAUUGCAGCUCUGUAUGAUUCUCGGUGCUGUACGUGGCAGAGGCACCCUCUGCACCCCUGAGAGUGAAUUGGAGUCUCGCAGAU
Fulmarus glacialis (Northern fulmar) is the source of this 411-nucleotide long non-coding RNA. RefSeq lists it as uncharacterized. The transcript has 4 exons. The record is from RefSeq and is a predicted model, not a curated record. NCBI's taxonomy places the organism in Eukaryota, Metazoa, Chordata, Aves, Procellariiformes, Procellariidae.